RNAcentral lists this ribosomal RNA (468 nucleotides) under uncultured bacterium. RNAcentral's name for it is "partial 16S ribosomal RNA". It matches the Rfam family "Bacterial small subunit ribosomal RNA", at positions 28 to 507 of the family's 1533-position model. The record is from RNAcentral.
GACGAACGCUGGCGGCGUGCUUAACACAUGCAAGUCGAACGGAAAGGCCCUGCUUUUGUGGGGUGCUCGAGUGGCGAACGGGUGAGUAACACGUGAGUAACCUGCCCUUGACUUUGGGAUAACUUCAGGAAACUGGGGCUAAUACCGGAUAGGAGCUCCUGCUGCAUGGUGGGGGUUGGAUAGUUUCGGCGGUUGGGGUUGGACUCGCGGCUUAUCAGCUUGUUUGUGGGGUAGUGGCUUACCAAGGGUUUGACGGGUAGCCGGCAUGAGAGGGUGACCGGCGACAAUGGGACUGAGAUACGGACCAGACUGCAACGGGAGGCAGAAGUGGGGAAUAUUGCACAAUGGGCGGAAGCCUGAUGCAGCAACGCCGCGUGCGGGAUGACGGCCUACGGGUUGUAAACAGAUUUCGCCUGUGAAGAAGAGUGAGUGACGGUAAUGGGUAAAGAAGCACCGGCUAACUACGUG